AUGAGAGCCGCACUGCUCACGGCGGUGCAUGACUAUCUCGGUUAUGGAUAUGUCGCGGGGCAGGUUGUCCAUGGAUUUUCUGGAUGCGUCAGGUGCAUGGAUGACACAACGUAUCGCCAGCUAGAUAGAGAUCCCGGGUCUUCUAAAACCGUGUUCAUGGGACAUCGAAGGUGGCUUCCCGACAAUGACCCAUGGAGAAAACGCAAGGAUCUGUUCGAUGGUGAAACCAAACCCCGAAGACGCCCGCGUAUGAGGAGCGGCGAGGAAAUAGACGAGCUGUUCAAAAAUUGGAAAGAGUGCCCGGAGCCGAGAAAGAAGCGAAAGGCGCCAGAGCCGCUGCUGAAGGUAUGGAAAACGAGGUCUGUUUUUUGGGACUUGCCGUACUAG
This 387-nucleotide ribosomal RNA is filed under the name Triticum aestivum (bread wheat). Its description in RNAcentral is "partial small subunit ribosomal RNA". The record is from RNAcentral. Lineage: Eukaryota; Viridiplantae; Streptophyta; Magnoliopsida; Poales; Poaceae.